CAGGUGGUCAGGUAGAGAAUACUCAGGCGCUUGAGAGAACUCGGGUGAAGGAACUAGGCAAAAUAGCACCGUAACUUCGGGAGAAGGUGCGCUUACCGUAAUUGUAAUCCCUUGCGGAUGAAGGUGAAGUAAGUCGAAGAUACCAGCUGGCUGCAACUGUUUAUUAAAAACACAGCACUCUGCAAACACGAAAGUGGACGUAUAGGGUGUGAUGCCUGCCCGGUGCUGGAAGGUUAAUUGAUGGUGUUAUCGAAAGAGAAGCUCCUGAUCGAAGCCCCAGUAAACGGCGGCCGUAACUAUAACGGUCCUAAGGUAGCGAAAUUCCUUGUCGGGUAAGUUCCGACCUGCACGAAUGGCAUAAUGAUGGCCAGGCUGUCUCCACCCGAGACUCAGUGAAAUUGAAAUCGCCGUGAAGAUGCGGUGUACCCGCGGCUAGACGGAAAGACCCCGUGAACCUUUACUAUAGCUUGACACUGAACAUUGAAUUUUGAUGUGUAGGAUAGGUGGGAGGCUUUGAAGCAGGAACGCCAGUUUCUGUGGAGCCAUCCUUGAAAUACCACCCUUUAACGUUUGAUGUUCUAACGAAGGACACGAAACGUGUUCUCGGACAGUGUCUGGUGGGUAGUUUGACUGGGGCGGUCUCCUCCCAAAGCGUAACGGAGGAGCACGAAGGUUUGCUAAUGACGGUCGGACAUCGUCAGGUUAGUGCAAUGGUAGAAGCAAGCUUAACUGCGAGACAGACAAGUCGAGCAGGUGCGAAAGCAGGUCAUAGUGAUCCGGUGGUUCUGAAUGGAAGGGCCAUCGCUCAACGGAUAAAAGGUACUCCGGGGAUAACAGGCUGAUACCGCCCAAGAGUUCAUAUCGACGGCGGUGUUUGGCACCUCGAUGUCGGCUCAUCACAUCCUGGGGCUGAAGUAGGUCCCAAGGGUAUGGCUGUUCGCCAUUUAAAGUGGUACGCGAGCUGGGUUUAGAACGUCGUGAGACAGUUCGGUCCCUAUCUGCCGUGGGCGUUGGAUGAUUGAGAGGGGCUGCUCCUAGUACGAGAGGACCGGAGUGGACGCACCACUGGUGUUUCGGUUGUGUCGCCAGACGCAUUGCCGAGUAGCUAAGUGCGGAAGAGAUAAGUGCUGAAAGCAUCUAAGCACGAAACUUGCCUCGAGAUGAGUCAUCCCCGACUUAAAGUCGGUAAGGGUUGUUGUAGACGACGACGUAGAUAGGCUGGGUGUGUAAGCGUUGCGAGACGUUGAGCUAACCAGUACUAAUUGCCCGAGAGGCUUAACCAUACAACCU
RNAcentral lists this ribosomal RNA (1290 nucleotides) under Pasteurella felis. Its description in RNAcentral is "[Haemophilus] felis partial 23S ribosomal RNA". It matches the Rfam family "Bacterial large subunit ribosomal RNA", at positions 1660 to 2925 of the family's 2925-position model. The record is from RNAcentral. Lineage: Bacteria; Pseudomonadati; Pseudomonadota; Gammaproteobacteria; Pasteurellales; Pasteurellaceae.